This 292-nucleotide ribosomal RNA is filed under the name uncultured bacterium. RNAcentral's name for it is "partial 16S ribosomal RNA". It matches the Rfam family "Bacterial small subunit ribosomal RNA", at positions 505 to 796 of the family's 1533-position model. The record is from RNAcentral.
GUGCCAGCCGCCGCGGUAAUACGUAGGGGGCAAGCGUUGUCCGGAAUCACUGGGCGUAAAGCGCGCGCAGGCGGUCUUUCACGUCCGGGGUGAAAGCCCAGAGCUCAACUCUGGGAUUGCCUUGGAUACGGGGAGACUUGAGGGUCGGAGAGGCAAGGGGAAUUCCACGUGUAGCGGUGAAAUGCGUAGAGAUGUGGAGGAACACCUGUGGCGAAGGCGCCUUGCUGGCCGACUUCUGACGCUGAGGCGCGAAAGCGUGGGGAGCAAACAGGAUUAGAAACCCGCGUAGUCC